Molecule: ribosomal RNA, 398 nt
Filed under: uncultured bacterium
Lineage: Bacteria
Description: partial 16S ribosomal RNA
Rfam family: Bacterial small subunit ribosomal RNA
Source: RNAcentral
AUACGUAGGGUGCGAGCGUUGUCCGGAAUUACUGGGCGCAAAGAGCUCGUAGGUGGUUUGUCGCGUCGUCUGUGAAAUUCCGGGGCUUAACUCCGGGCGUGCAGGCGAUACGGGCAUAACUUGAGUACUGUAGGGGAGACUGGAAUUCCUGGUGUAGCGGUGAAAUGCGCAGAUAUCAGGAGGAACACCGGUGGCGAAGGCGGGUCUCGGGGCAGUAACUGACGCUGGGGAGCGAAAGCAUGGGUAGCGAACAGGAUUAGAUACCCUGGGAGUCCAUGCCGUAAACGGUGGGCGCUAGGUGUAGGGGUCUUCCACGACUUCUGUGCCGUAGCUAACGCAUUAAGCGCCCCGCCUGGGGAGUACGGCCGCAAGGCUAAAACUCAAAUGAAUUGACGGGG